UGGGGAAUCUUGCGCAAUGGGCGAAAGCCUGACGCAGCGACGCCGCGUGGGGGAUGAAGGCCUUCGGGUUGUAAACCCCUUUCGGCAGGGACGAAGCUAACGUGACGGUACCUGCAGAAGAAGUCCCGGCUAACUACGUGCCAGCAGCCGCGGUAAGACGUAGGGGACGAGCGUUGUCCGGAUUUAUUGGGCGUAAAGCGCGCGUAGGCGGCUUGGAAAGUCGGAUGUGAAAAUCCGGGGCUCAACCCCGGACCUGCAUCCGAUACUUCCAGGCUAGAGGUAGGUAGGGGAGAUCGGAAUUCCUGGUGUAGCGGUGAAAUGCGCAGAUAUCAGGAGGAACACCGGUGGCGAAGGCGGAUCUCUGGGCCUUACCUGACGCUGAGGCGCGAAAGCUAGGGGAGCGAACAGGAUUAGAUACCCCCGUAGUCC
This 429-nucleotide ribosomal RNA is filed under the name uncultured bacterium. Its description in RNAcentral is "bacterial SSU rRNA". It matches the Rfam family "Bacterial small subunit ribosomal RNA", at positions 355 to 796 of the family's 1533-position model. The record is from RNAcentral.